GUUUGUGUUAAGAGUACAUUGUACUGUCAUAUUUAUUGAUUUUCUGUUGGACAUGACCUACAUUGUUAACAUGCAAAACAGUGGCUUGAUAUUUCAACUGAUAUUAGUAUAAUAAAUUAAAAUUUGGAAUGUUAUAUAUCCUGUUUGAAUUAUUUUUUUUGAGGACUAAGAUGUUUUCUUCAUUCUUGUUCACAUUAUGAUUAUCUUAA
RNAcentral lists this long non-coding RNA (209 nucleotides) under Mytilus galloprovincialis (Mediterranean mussel). The record is from RNAcentral. Lineage: Eukaryota; Metazoa; Mollusca; Bivalvia; Mytilida; Mytilidae.